UACGGAGGAUGCGAGCGUUAUCAGGAUUUAUUGGGUUUAAAGGGUGCGUAGGCGGCCGAGUAAGUCAGCGGUGAAAUUUUGCAGCUUAACUGUAACAGUGCCGUUGAUACUGCAUGGCUAGGAUUUGGUUGCUGUGGGUGGAAUGUGUGGUGUAGCGGUGAAAUGCUUAGAUAUCACACAGAAUAUCGAUUGCGAAGGCAGCUCACAAAGCCAAGAUUGACGCUGAGGCACGAAAGUGUGGGGAUCAAA
This 249-nucleotide ribosomal RNA is filed under the name uncultured prokaryote. RNAcentral describes it as "partial 16S ribosomal RNA". It matches the Rfam family "Bacterial small subunit ribosomal RNA", at positions 524 to 772 of the family's 1533-position model. The record is from RNAcentral.